Planctopirus limnophila DSM 3776 is the source of this 361-nucleotide non-coding RNA. It matches the Rfam family "transfer-messenger RNA". From Rfam's summary of the family: Bacterial tmRNA, also known as 10Sa RNA or SsrA, is named for its dual tRNA and mRNA-like properties. The record is from Rfam. Lineage: Bacteria; Pseudomonadati; Planctomycetota; Planctomycetia; Planctomycetales; Planctomycetaceae.
GGGGGCGAUCGGAAUCGACUGGAUCGUUAUACGGAAUGGUGGCGUGUCGUGGUUGAUCAGACGGCCACGUAAAAAUCUGAUCAAACAACAACUGCCAACACUGGCAACUACGCUCUGGCUGCCUAGAGAUAGGUAACCGCGACUGCGAAAGCCCCGCCCAUGGCGUUCAAAAGUCGUUCGCAAAUACGGGCUGGCUGCGGGUCAAUGCGACCUACGCCCGCAGCAAGAUUUGUGGGACGCUGGCACUAGAGAAGCCUUGUCCGGCGAGCUUCGAGGUGUGAGAUUGAUCAACGGACUACACACGUAGAGGCUGUUCCCGCGGCAUCACAGGACGGGGGUUCAAUUCCCCCCGCCUCCAUAG